Molecule: ribosomal RNA, 255 nt
Filed under: uncultured bacterium
Lineage: Bacteria
Description: partial 16S ribosomal RNA
Rfam family: Bacterial small subunit ribosomal RNA
Source: RNAcentral
UACGGAAGGGGCAAGCGUUGUUCGGAAUCAUUGGGCGUAAAGGGCGCGUAGGUGGUUCUGUAUGUCUACCGUGAAAGCAUACGGCUCAACUGUAUUUUGUCGGUUAGAAACUGCAGGACUUGAGGCUGGGAGGGGCUGGUGGAAUUCCCGUGUGUAGCGGUGAAAUGCGUAGAGAUGGGGGAGAACACUCGUGGCGAAGGCGGGUCUCUGGGCCGAUACUGACGCUGGAGGAGCGAAAGCGUGGGGAGCGAACAG